Lycium ferocissimum is the source of this 1143-nucleotide long non-coding RNA. RefSeq lists it as uncharacterized. The record is from RefSeq and is a predicted model, not a curated record. The transcript is spliced from 5 exons. Lineage: Eukaryota; Viridiplantae; Streptophyta; Magnoliopsida; Solanales; Solanaceae.
ACCCCACACAAAAUCUUUUAUAAAAAUAACUUGAUUUUGACCUUUUUAACGAUUUGUUUCCAUUUCCAAGAAUCAUUCAUAGUGCUUCGUUGAAUAUUCCCAACUUUUACCACAUGCUUUUCAUGUCUUUUGUCACAUAUUUAAACCCAAAAAUCCCACUAGGUCAUUAUUUUGUCUAAGUUCUUAAGCAUAUACAAGUCAAAAGUCAAGUGGGUUUUGGAACAGAGAUAGCUGGUUGACUCUUGGUAUUCAUUUUUCUUGCAAAUUUUUGAAGCUUCUGCAAGUCAAAAGUCAAUGUACCCAAGGGUCAAGGUGAGGGUACAGAAAGAAGAAGAUGAUGAGUAUGCUUAUGAGUCUUUGCCAUCUUUGAAGGCUUUUGAAUCCCUUUCCAUAAGUGAUUUCUCUUCUUCAGAUGAUUCUCCUACAUCAGUUGUGAGGAUACCCCGAGCAUGUAUUUUAAGUCCAGACAGACAUGGACUUCCAUUAUCAACAGGUUACAUACUUCUUUAACAACUUUUUGUUACCUCUUAGGCUCUUACUUUGAAAGUCAAUUGACAUUCACUGUGUUGAUUGGCAGGGAGAAGCAAGGACAACCGAAACAUUUUUGGAGGAAGCAAAACAAAUCCAAGGGCCACUUCAGUCCCACGACCACGUGCAGUCUUAUCAAGCCCGGAUAAUGAUCAAAUUAUAAGCACGAGGAGAAAGACGAAAGCAGAAGUAAUUUCAGGCUUGAAGAAUCACAGUUCAUGUCAAAACAGACAUCACAUCAAGUGCAACACUUUUCCAAAAUCAAUUCAAGUUGAAAAUCAUGCAAGUGGACAUAAGGGCUCAAAAGAAACGGCUUAUGGGAAAAUUGAUUCUCGAGCAAGAGCAAGGCUAGUGAAAGCCGAUCCAAGUCAAAGAACACACCUUCGGAAAGCAGAUCAAGAUUCUGUCUGUUCAAAGUAAUGAACUGAGCAGUCCAUAUUGGCUAAGUAGUCAAACUCAUUCUUGUUUGCAUACAAUUCUGGAAGUUUUUCAGUGCAACUGUCCCUUGACCAAGUUAUAACUGAACUUGAAACCCUUCAUAGAGAAACCUUCUUAUGAUUCCUUUUAUGAAAAGAUUAAUCCUCUGGGCAGAAAAUUCUGCAUUUUCAGACUCUU